GCGCUCACUUCGGCAGCACAUGUGCUAAAAUUGGAACGAUACAGAGAUUAGCAUGGCCCCUGUGCAAGGAUGACACGCAAAUUUGUGAAGUGUUCCAUGUUUUU
RNAcentral lists this small nuclear RNA (104 nucleotides) under Phocoena sinus (vaquita). RNAcentral also lists the same sequence under 1 other name. The record is from RNAcentral. Lineage: Eukaryota; Metazoa; Chordata; Mammalia; Artiodactyla; Phocoenidae.